Molecule: unclassified non-coding RNA, 243 nt
Filed under: plant metagenome
Description: partial contains small subunit ribosomal RNA, internal transcribed spacer 1, and 5.8S ribosomal RNA
Source: RNAcentral
UCUCCGUUGGUGAACCAGCGGAGGGAUCAUUACCGAGUUUACAACUCCCAAACCCAAUGUGAACCAUACCAAACUGUUGCCUCGGCUGGGUCACGCCCCGGGUGCCUCGCAGCCCCGGAACCAGGCGCCCGCCGGAGGGACCAACCAAACCCUUUCUGUUGUCCCCUCGCGGACGUUAUUUUUACAGCUCUGUGCAAAAAUUCAAAAGAAUCAAAACUUACAACAACGGAUCUCUUGGUUCUG